This 403-nucleotide ribosomal RNA is filed under the name Verrucomicrobiota bacterium. RNAcentral's name for it is "Verrucomicrobia bacterium partial 16S ribosomal RNA". It matches the Rfam family "Bacterial small subunit ribosomal RNA", at positions 355 to 776 of the family's 1533-position model. Lineage: Bacteria; Pseudomonadati; Verrucomicrobiota. The record is from RNAcentral.
UGGGGAAUAUUGCACAAUGGGCGCAAGCCUGAUGCAGCAACGCCGCGUGAACGAUGAAGGUCUUCGGAUCGUAAAGUUCUGUUGCAGGGGAAGAUAAUGACGGUACCCUGUGAGGAAGCCCCGGCUAACUACGUGCCAGCAGCCGCGGUAAUACGUAGGGGGCUAGCGUUAUCCGGAUUUACUGGGCGUAAAGGGUGCGUAGGUGGUCCUUCAAGUCGGUGGUUAAAGGCUACGGCUCAACCGUAGUAAGCCUCCGAAACUGGAAGACUUGAGUGCAGGAGAGGAAAGUGGAAUUCCCAGUGUAGCGGUGAAAUGCGUAGAUAUUGGGAGGAACACCAGUAGCGAAGGCGGCUUUCUGGACUGCAACUGACACUGAGGCACGAAAGCGUGGGUAGCAAACAGG